GUCGAACGGUAACAGGAAGCAGCUUGCUGCUUCGCUGACGAGUGGCGGACGGGUGAGUAAUGUCUGGGAAACUGCCUGAUGGAGGGGGAUAACUACUGGAAACGGUAGCUAAUACCGCAUAACGUCGCAAGACCAAAGAGGGGGACCUUCGGGCCUCUUGCCAUCGGAUGUGCCCAGAUGAGAUUAGCUAGUAGGUGGGGUAACGGCUCACCUAGGCGACGAUCCCUAGCUGGUCUGAGAGGAUGACCAGCCACACUGGAACUGAGACACGGUCCAGACUCCUACGGGAGGCAGCAGUGGGGAAUAUUGCACAAUGGGCGCAAGCCUGAUGCAGCCAUGCCGCGUGUAUGAAGAAGGCCUUCGGGUUGUAAAGUACUUUCAGCGGGGAGGAAGGCGACAGGGUUAAUAACCCUGUCGAUUGACGUUACCCGCAGAAGAAGCACCGGCUAACUCCGUGCCAGCAGCCGCGGUAUACGGAGGGGCAAGCGUUAAUCGGAUUACUGGGCGUAAAGCGCACGCAGGCGGUCUGUCAAGUCGGAUGUGAAAUCCCCGGGCUCAACCUGGGAACUGCAUUCGAAACUGGCAGGCUAGAGUCUUGUAGAGGGGGGUAGAAUUCCAGGUGUAGCGGUGAAAUGCGUAGAGAUCUGGAGGAAUAC
RNAcentral lists this ribosomal RNA (656 nucleotides) under uncultured Enterobacterales bacterium. RNAcentral's name for it is "bacterial SSU rRNA". It matches the Rfam family "Bacterial small subunit ribosomal RNA", at positions 61 to 709 of the family's 1533-position model. The record is from RNAcentral. Lineage: Bacteria; Pseudomonadati; Pseudomonadota; Gammaproteobacteria; Enterobacterales.